Molecule: unclassified non-coding RNA, 250 nt
Filed under: plant metagenome
Description: partial contains small subunit ribosomal RNA, internal transcribed spacer 1, and 5.8S ribosomal RNA
Source: RNAcentral
GUAGGUGAACCUGCGGAAGGAUCAUUACCGAGUUUAAGAGGGAGCGUAAAAUCCUCUCUCUACUCCCAUCCUUGUUUAAUUUAUGAGCUGUAAAGCAGCUUCGGCGGGCCAUCUCUGUUUUAAGGGAUGUUGGCUCUGUAAAAACGAGCUGGCUUGCGCCUGCCGGAGUAAUCAAUCCUGAUAACUAUGAUGUCUGAGAAAAUGAUUUAAAUAAUCAAAACUUUCAACAACGGAUCUCUUGGUUCUGGCA